Small nuclear RNA from Eptesicus fuscus (big brown bat), 105 nucleotides. The record is from RefSeq and is a predicted model, not a curated record. Lineage: Eukaryota; Metazoa; Chordata; Mammalia; Chiroptera; Vespertilionidae.
UAUUACUUCUUUAUUAAAAACGAAAACUGGAACGAUACAGAGAUUAGCAUGGCCCCUGCACAAGAAAAAAAAAUUAUGCUGGGUGUUGUUUCAGAAAAUAUAUUU